GCGGGUGUAGCUCAGUUGGUAGAGCACUUGCCUUCCAAGCAAGAUGUCACGAGUUCGAACCUCGUCGCCCGCUCCA
Molecule: transfer RNA, 76 nt
Filed under: Rhodocyclaceae bacterium
Lineage: Bacteria; Pseudomonadati; Pseudomonadota; Betaproteobacteria; Rhodocyclales; Rhodocyclaceae
Description: tRNA-Gly
Rfam family: tRNA
About the family: Transfer RNA (tRNA) molecules are approximately 80 nucleotides in length. Their secondary structure includes four short double-helical elements and three loops (D, anti-codon, and T loops). Further hydrogen bonds mediate the characteristic L-shaped molecular structure. tRNAs have two regions of fundamental functional importance: the anti-codon, which is responsible for specific mRNA codon recognition, and the 3' end, to which the tRNAs corresponding amino acid is attached (by aminoacyl-tRNA synthetases). tRNAs cope with the degeneracy of the genetic code in two manners: having more than one tRNA (with a specific anti-codon) for a particular amino acid; and 'wobble' base-pairing, i.e. permitting non-standard base-pairing at the 3rd anti-codon position.
Source: RNAcentral